Molecule: ribosomal RNA, 253 nt
Filed under: uncultured bacterium
Lineage: Bacteria
Description: partial 16S ribosomal RNA
Rfam family: Bacterial small subunit ribosomal RNA
Source: RNAcentral
UACGGGGGGAGCAAGCGUUGUUCGGAUUUACUGGGCGUAAAGGGCGCGUAGGCGGCGCAACAAGUCACUUGUGAAAUCUCCGGGCUUAACCCGGAGCGGCCAAGUGAUACUGUCGUGCUAGAGUGCGGAAGGGGCUACUGGAAUUCUCGGUGGAGCGGUGAAAUGCGUAGAGAUCGGAAAGAACACCAACGGCGAAAGCACUCUGCUGGGCCGACACUGACACUGAGAGACGAAAGCUAGGGGAGCAAAUGGG